This 65-nucleotide transfer RNA is filed under the name Entoria okinawaensis (Okinawa walking stick). Its description in RNAcentral is "tRNA-Ala". It matches the Rfam family "tRNA". From Rfam's summary of the family: Transfer RNA (tRNA) molecules are approximately 80 nucleotides in length. Their secondary structure includes four short double-helical elements and three loops (D, anti-codon, and T loops). Further hydrogen bonds mediate the characteristic L-shaped molecular structure. tRNAs have two regions of fundamental functional importance: the anti-codon, which is responsible for specific mRNA codon recognition, and the 3' end, to which the tRNAs corresponding amino acid is attached (by aminoacyl-tRNA synthetases). tRNAs cope with the degeneracy of the genetic code in two manners: having more than one tRNA (with a specific anti-codon) for a particular amino acid; and 'wobble' base-pairing, i.e. permitting non-standard base-pairing at the 3rd anti-codon position. Lineage: Eukaryota; Metazoa; Arthropoda; Insecta; Phasmatodea; Phasmatidae. The record is from RNAcentral.
GGGUUUAUAGUUAAAAAUAAUAUUUGAUUUGCAUUCAAAAGGUAUUGAAAUAUCAAUUAUACUCG